Long non-coding RNA from Felis catus (domestic cat), 4282 nucleotides. RefSeq lists it as uncharacterized. NCBI's taxonomy places the organism in Eukaryota, Metazoa, Chordata, Mammalia, Carnivora, Felidae. The transcript is spliced from 4 exons. The record is from RefSeq and is a predicted model, not a curated record.
AGUCCUCCCUCCUCCCGGUCCGUGCUCCCACUGGGGGCUCCCACCUCCCAUUCCUCCCUCCUCCCGGCCUGUGCUCCCACUGGGGGCUCCCACCCUGCAGUCCUCCCUCCUCCUGGCCUGUACUCCCCCUGGGGGCUACCACCUCCCAUUCCUCCCUCCUCCUGGCCUGUGCUCCCACUGGGGGCUCCCACCCUGCAGUCCUCCCUCCUCCCGGUCUGUGCUCCCACUGGGGGCUCCCACCCUGCAGUCCUCCUUUCUCCUGGCCUGUACUCCCCCUGGGGGCUACCACCUCCCAUUCCUUCCUCCUCCUGGUCUGUGCUCCCACUGGGGGCUCCCACCCCGCAGUCCUCCCUCCUCCCAGCCUGUGCUCCCCCUGGGGGCUUCCAUCCCUCAGUCCUCCCUCCUCCCAGCCUGUGCUUCCCCCGGGGGCUCCCACCCCUCAGUCCUCCCUCCUCACCUCCCACUGUCCCAGGGGGUGUGGUGGGGAGUGAGCUGGAAGGCACAUAAUCCCUGAGGACAGCGCUCAGCACGCCUGCCAGAAACCAGUUCCGGGCAACGUUUGUUCCUAUUCAUGACGAGCAUGUCUCGUACCCAGGACCCCCUCUCCAACCCCAUGGCCACUCGGACCAGGCCGCCCACCCCCCUCUCCUGGGACCCUCUGAGCUGCACGACCCAGCUGGCUGGAUGCUGUCCGAUGGCCACCCCCCUCAGUCCAGUCCACAAUGUGGGGUUCUUUCAUGCCCUCCCCGCUUUUUCUAAGAAGAAAACAGCCUUUCAGGGAGCUGUGCCUGCUGGAGUCAGGCCCUAUGUGGGUCACGGCCGGCACGGGAACCGGUCGGCCUGGGUUUCGCAGGUGGGGCUGCGGGAUCCCCUUCCAUCCGCCCUCUGAGAGCAGAGGCCACGCAGACGGGCACCCCCAUCCCGGGGCUGUGAGGGGAUGCCCCAGGAGCGGCAGGAAAGCCAGGAGACCCGUCAACCCUGGGCUUUCUGGGGACACGGCCGGGCUGAGCCAGGUGGCUGGUGGGGCAGGGGAUGUGAUGUUUCAGCUGUAGUUUUCCAGGGGUUUGAUGUCAGAUACAGCACGUGGGUGGGAACUCCUUCCGUAACUUGGGGUCCCACCCUUGGAUCCGGUCCUGGUCUCCACCCCCAGGUGGCAUUGAGUUGUUUCGGGGGUUAGGACCUCCCAGUCACACGGGAGGGCCAGAGUCCCGCUCCCAGAAAUCGUCCUGGAAUGCGCCCCCCCCCGAAGCGGGCGCUGGGGUCCGGGGGAGAGCCGUGGUCCGGGCGGCCGGGGGGCGGGUGUGAGGCCUGCGGGGAGCACGUCCCAGGCUGAGCUGGACCCCAGGGCCCGGAGCCCGGAGCCAGGCCGACGGAAGCAGCCUCGGAGCGUCUGACCUCGUGACAGAGCCAAAGACAGGCUUUACCACUGAGCCCCAGACCCCAAAGGCGGGAAGCUUCUGGAGCCGGACGAGGGCCUGAAGGACAGCGAUUGUGUCCAUCGGAAGGAGAAACAGGAGAACGGCCCAGAAACCCUGACCAUGAAGGGGCUGGCGCAGCUGCGGGCCACAGCCUGUCACCAAGCGGGCCUCCGGCACCCUGCAGGCAGCCGCGGGCACAGGGCGAUGGAGACUGUGAGGUUGACAGACUUGUGGAACUUAGUUCCCGUCUGGGGGCUCCACACAGAGCCACGCAAGUGACAGGUCACAUGCUGCCCGUCCGUCGGAAAGGGUUGGCCGCCAAGCUGUGCGCUGGGGGUGGGGCUGGGUGAAGGGAGCAGGGAACAGUUUCCGGUGGGUGGGACAGCAUGGGUGAGACCCCUGAGGCAGGCAGGGGACGGCCGACUGAGUGAGGAGAGGCCCGUGGGAACGCGGACGUUUGCUGAAGGUGCGGAUGCUCCGUGAGGUCACCGAGGCCAGGUCACAGGAGCCCCUGGACCACGUGCAUAAUGUGGAUUUUGUCUGCGUGGUGGCGGCUGGUGGAGGGACACAAGCGGGGUGACAUUCUGGCGAUGUUCCUGGGCUAUGAGGCUGUGGGGGUCACCCACUCUCCCCAAGGCCAGGCUGGCGGGGAGGGGGAGGUGAGCUCGGACUCCGCCCCGAGGCUGCCCUUUCCUGUCGCCCCCUCCUCUCUUGCCCUGGGAGCCGCAGGACUGUCAGCCCCCCACCCCGUGGACAGGCCUAGCUGCUCUUACCAUCAUGAUGCCCACCUGUGUCUGACGGGGGAGGUGCUGCCCGGCCCUGCCUUUCUGGGGCCCGCCAUCACCCACAGACACAGCGAGACCACCAGCUCCUGACCACAGAGAGCUCACUCGUGCCUUCACCAAAGGAGUGUCCCUGCGGGCAACCCCGGCUGGGCCCUGGGAUCUCAGGUGACAGCCCACAGCUCCUCUGGGCCUUCCUCUGCCCUGGGAGGGGUGUAGGGUGUGCAUCCUGGGGUGGGUCUUGGGGACAGGACGGCCGUGCUGGACAGGACGGCAGGCACCUGGGCAGGUGAUUCUGUGCUCACACACGAUGGUCACCGUGCACGCCUGGCCUUGGUGGCCCCGGGACCGUCACGGCCAUGUCGGAGGCUAACCCAGAAAGCCCUGGUUGGCUUAAACGCGUGGCUGACACAUCCUGGCAGACUGGAGAUCAAGCCCACGCUGUGGGAGCCACCGAAGGAGUCUAAUGAGAGUGAUAGUCCAAAGUGGCUGCUUACGGGAGGGUUCGAGGGUGGCCUAGAGUUUCCCGAGUUAAGGUGCCGCAGGACGUUUGAGCCACUCGGGUAGAGUGUCCCGCCAGUCUCUGUACAGCUCGGCCCAGGGUGUGUUUACGCACUAAGAGGGCUCGGGUGCCACCAAGUGGCCAUCCUGGGGACAUCAACGCCCGUCCCCAUGGAACCACCAGUAUCUUUUCCUUCUGUGGGAGCAAGUCUCUGCAUUUGAGUUCAAUCUUUCCGAUUUCGAAGUGAGGAAACCCACGAGAUGUCUUGCUUAGCAGUGAGCUGACACUUUCCCCUUGGGUUUGAAACUACUCAUUCUGUGCGCGCUUCAGCUCCAGUCCUGCCGAUGCUUCUGGUAAGUCACUGAUUUCCUUCUUGCGUUAGGGUAACAGAGAGGGCGAGGCAUCCCUCUGCGGCGACACCAGAUCGUGAAACCCUGGAAGCCGAUCUGUCAUCAGUGUGGCUGGUGACUCCACCCGUGAGGUCCCGGAGCCACAUGCCCCCUGAGGCCCCGGAAGACACAGCCCUGGGCUGCUCCCGAGCUUGGCGCUUAAGGCGGGAAACAGACUUCAAUUUUUUAAAAGAUAGGGACGGGCCACGGAAAGGACCACGACAGGGCUGUCUAUGGGAGUGUGGGUCGUGGGGACUGGUGUUCUGUGAUGUGGGAAACCUUAAAUUUCCUCACUGCGUCCAGCCCCUGGACAAGUCCCUGGGACAGGCAGAGUCACCGCCCUCUGGGAGCCCAGCUGCCUCGAUGAUGACACUUCGCUAAGGGCAAAAGGCGAUCUUAGCUUGACCUCAUCCCGACCUCUGGGAUCCUGAUUUUGAUAGGAAUGGUACUAAAAAAUGUAUAUCAACUUGAGGAGAAUUGACAUCUCUGCUAUGUUGAGCCUUUCAACUCAUAAACACAAGCUUCCUGCGCUCUGAUGAGUAAGAGUUGGGAGCAGGUGUCCUUGCCACGUUCCUAAGUAUUCACCAUCCAUUCAUCAUUGAUGAGAGUCUUCAUCAUUGCCCGCUCUGUUAUAGGAGAAUCCAGCAAUUUCCCACCCAUCUGUGUCUACACCCUGGAACGACUGCGUGAUCCAGGAGCCAUCUGAUGGCAGCGUGCUGGUUCUCACCCAUACGUUCGGAAGAUCUGGAACUGUUUCUUAUUUUCUAUAGUUAUUGUUCUUUUAAAGUUUUCUCGGUAAAAAUUAAACAUAGAGAUGUCAUGCAACCCAGAAAUUCCACUUGUGGGUACUUAUCUGAAGAAAAUGAAAACACUAAUUCCAAAAGAUACACGUACCCCACGAUCACGGCAGCACCAUUUACGAUGGCCAAGAUACGGCAGCCGCCCAAAUGUCCUCCAUAGACGAACGGAUGAAGAAGAUGGGUGUGUAUGCAAUGGAAUAGUACCUAGCCAUAAAAAGAGUGAAAUCUUGCCACUCGUGACAACGUGGAUGGACCUAGAGUGUAUUAUGAUAACUGAAAGACAGAGAAAGACAAGCACCAUUUGAUUUCACUCAUAUGUGGAAUCUAAAAAACAAAACAAAUGAAGAAACAAACCGCGAAGCAAAACACGAAGGCAUAAAUACAGAGAACA